This 790-nucleotide ribosomal RNA is filed under the name uncultured Staphylococcus sp. RNAcentral's name for it is "bacterial SSU rRNA". It matches the Rfam family "Bacterial small subunit ribosomal RNA", at positions 129 to 905 of the family's 1533-position model. Lineage: Bacteria; Bacillati; Bacillota; Bacilli; Caryophanales; Staphylococcaceae. The record is from RNAcentral.
CCUAUAAGACUGGGAUAACUUCGGGAAACCGGAGCUAAUACCGGAUAAGAUUUUGAACCGCAUGGUUCAAUAGUGAAAGACGGCCUUGCUGUCACUUAUAGAUGGAUCCGCGCCGUAUUAGCUAGUUGGUAAGGUAACGGCUUACCAAGGCAACGAUACGUAGCCGACCUGAGAGGGUGAUCGGCCACACUGGAACUGAGACACGGUCCAGACUCCUACGGGAGGCAGCAGUAGGGAAUCUUCCGCAAUGGGCGAAAGCCUGACGGAGCAACGCCGCGUGAGUGAUGAAGGUCUUCGGAUCGUAAAACUCUGUUAUCAGGGAAGAACAAACGUGUAAGUAACUGUGCACGUCUUGACGGUACCUGAUCAGAAAGCCACGGCUAACUACGUGCCAGCAGCCGCGGUAAUACGUAGGUGGCAAGCGUUAUCCGGAAUUAUUGGGCGUAAAGCGCGCGUAGGCGGUUUUUUAAGUCUGAUGUGAAAGCCCACGGCUCAACCGUGGAGGGUCAUUGGAAACUGGAAAACUUGAGUGCAGAAGAGGAAAGUGGAAUUCCAUGUGUAGCGGUGAAAUGCGCAGAGAUAUGGAGGAACACCAGUGGCGAAGGCGACUUUCUGGUCUGUAACUGACGCUGAUGUGCGAAAGCGUGGGGAUCAAACAGGAUUAGAUACCCUGGUAGUCCACGCCGUAAACGAUGAGUGCUAAGUGUUAGGGGGUUUCCGCCCCUUAGUGCUGCAGCUAACGCAUUAAGCACUCCGCCUGGGGAGUACGACCGCAAGGUUGAAACUCAAA